RNAcentral lists this ribosomal RNA (510 nucleotides) under uncultured bacterium. RNAcentral describes it as "partial 16S ribosomal RNA". It matches the Rfam family "Bacterial small subunit ribosomal RNA", at positions 28 to 507 of the family's 1533-position model. The record is from RNAcentral.
GACGAACGCUGGCGGCGUGCUUAACACAUGCAAGUCGAACGAAGAGCGAUGGAUGCUUGCUUCUAUCCAUCUUAGUGGCGAACAGGUGAGUAACGCGUAAUCAACCUUCCCUUCAGAGGGGGACAACAGUUGGAAACGACUGCUCAUACCGCAUACGAUCGAACCACGGCAUCGGGGGGGGAGGAAAGGUGGCCUCUAUUUAUAAGCUAUCACUUAAGCUGGUGAUUGCGGUUGAUGAUCUAGUGGGAGUGGUAGCGUCGCACCAAGGCGAGGAUCAGUAGCAGGUCUGCGAGGAUGAACAGCCGCAUUGGGACGGAGACACGGCCCAGACGCCUACGGGAGGCAGCAGUGGUGAACCUUCCGCCAUGGACGAAAGUCUGACGGCGCAACGCCGCGGGAGGGAUGACGGCCGUCGGGUUGUAAAGCUCUGUUAAUCGGGACGAAAGGCCUUCUUGCUAAUAGUAAGAAGGAUUGACGGUAACGGAAAAGAAAGCCACGGCUAACUACGUG